Molecule: long non-coding RNA, 1273 nt
Organism: Solea senegalensis (Senegalese sole)
Lineage: Eukaryota; Metazoa; Chordata; Actinopteri; Pleuronectiformes; Soleidae
Exons: 2
Source: RefSeq, a predicted model, not a curated record
UCUGGCCAGGAGACCUCCAGCACCUUCACCUCAUCGUUUCCUAAGAGUCAAGAGUCAGAAGCAUCACAAAUUGGCUUCCAGUACUCUUUCUCCCUCUGGUUGGUACAGAGGGACAUGACAACGUCACAGCGUGUGUGUCUCUGACAACUGUGUUUAUGUAACUCUCAUCAAAAGAUAGAAUAAGCAGAUGUUUUUAGCUUACUACAGUUUUAGACUGAAACUGAUGGUCAUGUUGUCAUGUCUCCUGACCUGUUCCUCUCCCCUGUGGCUCUGCAGCAUCUCCCACAUUAAGCUCCUGAAUUGACGGGUCUGCAGCAGUUCUCCUUGACACCCUGCAAAAAGAUAAUUCAAAAUUUAAAAAACAUGUUGCUUUUCACAUCUGUGCAUGAUAAGCAGUAAAAGUCUACCUGAACAGUCUGUUUGGGGCAUUUCCUCUGUAGGCAAUGUUGUUAAAAAACACCUCCAACUCCCUGUCAUUAUCAAAGUCAGCGGCGAUGACUGUGCGAACGGGGGAGAAGGUGGCAAAUCCCUGAGUUGCAAUGUUCUGCAAAAAAGAGAUCAUAUACAUUUUUGUUUGUAUCAAAUUUGUAUCCGAUAUUAUCGACAAUAUCCCACCGUCUCCUUCCUUACCCGGAAUUUAGAGUCACUGUCCUGCAGGAAAAGCCUGUGUGGGCCGUUCCAGUUGCCAUAGACGAUGUCCGUCUUUCCAUCACCAUUGAAGUCAGCGAGGGCUACUCCUCUGCCAUGCUGCCAUCUGUCCUCCACGCCUAAGAAUAUGGAAGCGGUGUAAAUGCUUAUGUAUGUGUGUACUGUAAUGUUUCAUAGUUUUGGGAGUAUUUAGUGACAUCUAGUGGUAUUAAAAAAAGACACUGUGACAUUUAACAGUGCUCACGUUGGUAUCCAUCUAUUACUUAUUACAAAACAGUUUAGGUUUUUUGUACGUACGUGGAUAUGAAAUAUGAAAAUGUAUUUUUGGGGUCCAAAUUCAGUUGAUAAGGAAUUGGUCAAACUAAGCUGAAGUUGCAUUUAGUUUUUAUAAUUAUAAUAAUUAAACUUUUGUCAUUUGCGGCUUUGAGGAAAUGUUUGGGAACCUGUCGUUGAAAUUAAGACUUUCAUCUACUUUUUGAACAUUUUUGGAUAACGUUUAAGUUGAUUUAAUGAAGAAAAUAAGUAAUGUUUUUGAAUUGGAAUCAGCUUACGAGUUCGAAAGGCCGACACACUUGUUUGUAGAAAAUGAUACUGUUAAUAAAUUUGAAAAGAAGGUUGAACACCA